AAGAUUAAACUUCCGGGGAUCACUUCUAUAGUUUGUAACUAGAGAAGUUUCUCUGUAGGUGUAAAGCACCGGAAACCACAAGGGCCAGGUGCCACAUUCUCUCCUGAGCUGUGAAGCCGGUUCUUGUUGCUACUUUACUGCAGCGCAUUUAACAUUGAUGCUCAUUCUUCUGUAAGAGGAGAGAGAGAGAGAGAGCUCAGUCUGGAUGGU
Molecule: small nucleolar RNA, 210 nt
Filed under: Carlito syrichta (Philippine tarsier)
Lineage: Eukaryota; Metazoa; Chordata; Mammalia; Primates; Tarsiidae
Description: Small nucleolar RNA U3 (ENSTSYG00000022271.2)
Rfam family: Small nucleolar RNA U3
About the family: Small nucleolar RNAs (snoRNAs) are involved in the processing and modification of rRNA in the nucleolus. There are two main classes of snoRNAs: the box C/D class, and the box H/ACA class.
Source: Rfam by way of RNAcentral